GCUAUAAUGAAAUCCGACUAUUGCAAUAUAUUUCUCAUCAACAUUGUGGAAAUAAUUACUCCUUUUGAUCCAUCCAAAAUGAACAAAUAAUGAAACAAUAAGAUACAAGCAGAGACAAUCAUGUCUUAAUCCGCACCUUAAUUCAAAUCUUGAGCAAUCAAAGUACACUCCAACCUAAGGAAUCCUAAAAUAUUCAAGCUAAUUAGUGAUACAUUGUGGAAAAGCAAUAAAUGAGAGGAAUGCCGACAAAACGAGGAAAUCGCUGAGACCCUAGCUCUUGGUGGUACUGCCAAACAUGGGAUAGCUGAAGACUCUCUUACAUAAUAUGCUAACAAAGGCUAAGUAGAAAACAUAUGGUACCGAAGAAAAUAUCUUUGCCAUGAAAGAUCUAUGUGAUUCAACACUUGUCGAGGAAAUAUUACUUAGCCAUAUGGGUAUCAGAACUUAAAAAAUGUCGCCAUUUUCCUCCACUAGAUUUAUCUAUCUAAGCAGAGCAGCAUCCAACCUUUUUUACAGCUGAAACAUCAUCCUUAGUGCCAACAUUAAUUGUCUGUCCUUUAGGCAGUGCUGCUGGAUCCUCUCCAACCUCAAGAGCUUUCCUGCUGACAACUCGAUAUAUCUGAGUUAGCACCUCUGUGAAGGCAUUUUCCACAUUCAUAGAUUCCAGAGCAGAGGUUUCCAUAAAAAACGUGUUUUCCCUUUCAGCAAAUGCCUUCGCAUCCUCCGUGGAAACAGCCCUUAGGUGGCGCAAAUCUGCCUUGUUUCCCACAAGCAUAAUGACAAUGUUCGAAUCUGUGUGAUCCCGAAGCUCCUUUAACCAUCUCUCAACAUUUUCAAAUGUAACAUGACGAGUGACAUCGUAGACUAACAAUGCUCCAACAGCACCACGAUAGUAGGCACUUGUGAUUGCACGAUACCUUUAACAGAAGAAAAUAUUGAAACAGAGAAGUCAGUGAAUGAUUUUACCAACAAAAAAGAGAGCGGAAAAAUAUAUUAUACAAAAGAAAGAACUUAUCCAGAUCUCAUCAUGACUGUAUCCAAAUUGAAACGGAGAAAAGGCCAGUAGAUAGGAAGGGUAUCUUAGUCUUACAAAAAAGAUUAACAUGCAGAAAACUCAACAACUUUUUAAAGGAAUCAAUAUCUGCUUAGAAAACUUAGAUAGUAAUUUAAAACAUCAGAUCAUUGCAUAACAACUUCAUACAAACAAUGCAAAUGCCUCACACAAUUAUUAUAAUUGCAAAGAUCUUAACCAUUUCCAUAGUGUAACGUAUCAGCUUGUGCACGAAAACCAUGUUUUAGGUAUCUUCAUCUAAAAAUAUCCAUAAACGAUGUAUAUGUCAAUUCAAGCAUUCAAACGUCAAAAAGUAGGGUGCUGAAUUCUAAUCGAAUUGCAAUACAACUAACUAGAUCUUCUAAGCAUCACAAAGUCUACCAAAAGGAAUUAACUAUAAAGAUCUACCCUCCCACAUACACCAGCAUAAACUCACAGAAUUGUAGCAUGAAAUAACAAACACUCCAGAAAUUCUAACACCAUACUCUAGGUUCAGCAAACAAUUCUA
Molecule: long non-coding RNA, 1559 nt
Filed under: Coffea arabica (coffee)
Lineage: Eukaryota; Viridiplantae; Streptophyta; Magnoliopsida; Gentianales; Rubiaceae
Description: long non-coding RNA (CARA_LNC003851)
Source: RNAcentral